This 234-nucleotide long non-coding RNA is filed under the name Glycine max (soybean). Its description in RNAcentral is "long non-coding RNA (GMAX_LNC003726)". Lineage: Eukaryota; Viridiplantae; Streptophyta; Magnoliopsida; Fabales; Fabaceae. The record is from RNAcentral.
CCAACCCCACUUCUGAAAAAUGGGGAAAAAAAGAGAAACCUUUGCAUGUCUCCGAGGCUUCAAAUGAAAGAAGGGAUAGAAAAAGACUUGGUUGAGUGGGGUGAUGGGGCCUCACAUAGCUAAACUUGCAUUAGUGUGGUCUCCAUGUACACCAAGGUAUAAUCAAGUGCUUUAGACCAGGAUCUUAACUUUUUCCCAAAGGAGGGAUUAGGGGAACUUCAUUGACAAUUGAAA